Molecule: non-coding RNA, 173 nt
Organism: Podarcis lilfordi (Lilford's wall lizard)
Lineage: Eukaryota; Metazoa; Chordata; Lepidosauria; Squamata; Lacertidae
Source: the annotation of a GenBank genome assembly
GCGCUCCUCAGCUGAGCUACCUGAUCCCUCUCCUACUUGCGUGCAAGCAGGAGUGGAGGCAGGGAUCUCUCAGAAGUGGAGUGGAGGCUUUCCGCUCCCCAGCUGAGCUGCCCGCUCCCGCUCCUGCUUGCACGCAAGUAGGAGUGGGAUCGGGCAGCUCAACUGGGGAGCGC